GGGGAUUUAGCUCAGUGGUAGAGCGCUUGCCUAGCAAGCACAAGGCCCUGAGUUCGGUCCUCAGCUCCG
RNAcentral lists this transfer RNA (69 nucleotides) under Rattus norvegicus (Norway rat). It matches the Rfam family "tRNA". Rfam says of the family: Transfer RNA (tRNA) molecules are approximately 80 nucleotides in length. Their secondary structure includes four short double-helical elements and three loops (D, anti-codon, and T loops). Further hydrogen bonds mediate the characteristic L-shaped molecular structure. tRNAs have two regions of fundamental functional importance: the anti-codon, which is responsible for specific mRNA codon recognition, and the 3' end, to which the tRNAs corresponding amino acid is attached (by aminoacyl-tRNA synthetases). tRNAs cope with the degeneracy of the genetic code in two manners: having more than one tRNA (with a specific anti-codon) for a particular amino acid; and 'wobble' base-pairing, i.e. permitting non-standard base-pairing at the 3rd anti-codon position. The record is from Rfam by way of RNAcentral. Lineage: Eukaryota; Metazoa; Chordata; Mammalia; Rodentia; Muridae.